This 51-nucleotide transfer RNA is filed under the name Lissemys punctata andersoni. RNAcentral describes it as "transfer RNA-Leu". The record is from RNAcentral. Lineage: Eukaryota; Metazoa; Chordata; Testudines; Trionychidae.
ACUUUCAAAGGAUAACAGAUCAAUCCACUGGCCUUAGGAGCCACACCCUCU